ACUCCUGCGGGAGGCAGCAGUGGGGAAUUUUGGACAAUGGGGGCAACCCUGAUCCAGCAAUGCCGCGUGAGUGAAGAAGGCCUUCGGGUUGUAAAGCUCUUUUGUCAGGGAAGAAACGGUAGUAGCGAAUAACUAUUACUAAUGACGGUACCUGAAGAAUAAGCACCGGCUAACUACGUGCCAGCAGCCGCGGUAAUACGUAGGGUGCAAGCGUUAAUCGGAAUUACUGGGCGUAAAGCGUGCGCAGGCGGUUGUGUAAGUCAGAUGUGAAAUCCCCGGGCUCAACCUGGGAAUUGCAUUUGAGACUGCACGGCUAGAGUGUGUCAGAGGGGGGUAGAAUUCCACGUGUAGCAGUGAAAUGCGUAGAUAUGUGGAGGAAUACCGAUGGCGAAGGCAGCCCCCUGGGAUAACACUGACGCUCAUGCACGAAAGCGUGGGGAGCAAACAGGAUUAGAUACCCCAGUAGUCCCAUGA
RNAcentral lists this ribosomal RNA (474 nucleotides) under uncultured organism. RNAcentral describes it as "partial 16S ribosomal RNA". It matches the Rfam family "Bacterial small subunit ribosomal RNA", at positions 335 to 800 of the family's 1533-position model. The record is from RNAcentral.